UUUUGCUUCAAAAAAUAUCAUCACAAACCAUCUUCACACCCUCCUUGCAUCAAACAAAUAUCAUCAAGCACACUUCACUCAAUCAUCAUCAAAAAUAGAACAUAAAGCUCCCUGCAACUGAAACACAACAUCUCCAUCUAUCAUCUUCAACCAUCACAUCACGAAAACCACACAUAACGACUCAGAAACACAACAACAACAACAUUUAACAACGGCAACGGAACUGCAUGCAUUGUCAACAACUGAAGCUUCCCUCCGAUCAUCCACGUCCAAACACCACAGAGCACGCGCAAAAUACGACAGAGGAUGUGAGAUCAUUUUUGUUU
This 326-nucleotide long non-coding RNA is filed under the name Lathyrus oleraceus (garden pea). Its description in RNAcentral is "Pisum sativum (pea) long non-coding RNA (PSAT_LNC003975)". Lineage: Eukaryota; Viridiplantae; Streptophyta; Magnoliopsida; Fabales; Fabaceae. The record is from RNAcentral.